UACAGAGGGUGCAAGCGUUGUUCGGAAUUAUUGGGCGUAAAGCGCGUGUAGGCGGCUUUGCAAGUCGGGUGUGAAAGCCCUCAGCUCAACUGAGGAAGUGCGCCCGAAACUGCAGAGCUUGAGUACCGGAGAGGAUGGCGGAAUUCCCCAAGUAGAGGUGAAAUUCGUAGAUAUGGGGAGGAACACCGGUGGCGAAGGCGGCCAUCUGGACGGAUACUGACGCUCAGGCACGAAAGCGUGGGGAGCAAACAGG
Molecule: ribosomal RNA, 253 nt
Filed under: uncultured bacterium
Lineage: Bacteria
Description: partial 16S ribosomal RNA
Rfam family: Bacterial small subunit ribosomal RNA
Source: RNAcentral